AUUGAGCGCUGGCGGCAGGCCUAACACAUGCAAGUCGAACGGUAACAGAAAGCAGCUUGCUGCUUUGCUGACGAGUGGCGGACGGGUGAGUAAUGUCUGGGAAACUGCCUGAUGGAGGGGGAUAACUACUGGAAACGGUAGCUAAUACCGCAUAACGUCGCAAGACCAAAGAGGGGGACCUUCGGGCCUCUUGCCAUCGGAUGUGCCCAGAUGGGAUUAGCUAGUAGGUGGGGUAACGGCUCACCUAGGCGACGAUCCCUAGCUGGUCUGAGAGGAUGACAAGCCACACUGGAACUGAGACACGGUCCAGACUCCUACGGGAGGCAGCAGUGGGGAAUAUUGCACAAUGGGCGCAAGCCUGAUGCAGCCAUGCCGCGUGUAUGAAGAAGGCCUUCGGGUUGUAAAGUACUUUCAGCGGGGAGGAAGGGAGUAAAGUUAAUACCUUUGCUCAUUGACGUUACCCGCAGAAGAAGCACCGGCUAACUCCGUG
RNAcentral lists this ribosomal RNA (490 nucleotides) under uncultured bacterium. Its description in RNAcentral is "partial 16S ribosomal RNA". It matches the Rfam family "Bacterial small subunit ribosomal RNA", at positions 30 to 507 of the family's 1533-position model. The record is from RNAcentral.